CCCGGAGCCAGGUGUCGGCGACAAGGGGCAAGGGAGGGUCCCAGGCUGCGGCGGCGGCCCGGCCAGUGCCGGAAUGGGGAUCUCAUUCAACAGCCUCCUCUCCACCACCCUUUGGGUCAGGCCGGGCACAGAAAUCCCCCCGAACGACUGCUGGAAGUUUUCAAGGACUUAAAAAUAAAUCCGCAGCCUUAAGUUGCGAAAGUCAGCCCCACAAAGUGCCACCCUUCGGGAAACAUCUAUGACGCGGCAGAGAUGAGGCGGGAGUCCCCAGAGAGACCGAGCCAUCGGAGAGCAGGGAGUGCUGGGCUGCGUCCCGGGAGACCGCGGCACGGAGCCCGGGCAGCUUCCUGACGGGAGAAGGCAGCGAGGCCGCGGCACCGUCCCGGCUCCGGGCCCAGGAGGACCCGAGGGUGAAGGGACUGAGGGACGGACCAGCGCGGAGGGGAGGGGGGCGCCCCGACCACCUCCUCCUCCGCCGAGAGGGUCUGCCCGCGCCGGCUCCCCGCGCGGCCCCGCGCCCUACCUCGCGCCUCGGCUCCUCCUCUUUGUUCGCGGCCCCGCAGCGGCGGCGGAGACCGAUGCAGACGCGGCCCCGCCGCGCCCGCCGCUCGCAGUGUCUCUGACGCCGCGGCGGCACCCGGAGACUCCUCUCUGCUGCCCCCCUCACGCGCGCACACACACACGCCGCCGCCGCCACCUCCCACUUUCCCAGCCGAGGAGGGCGGAGGAAGAGGAGGAGGAGGAGGAGGAGGAGGUGGAGGAGGAGGCCGAGCCGCUGCGGGCGCCCGGGGCGCGAGGGGGCGGCCCCGCACCACAGCGCCUCCCCCCGGAGCGGGCGCGGCACCUCCGGGAACUGCGGGGCCGGCGCGCCUUCCUCCUGGCGCUGAGGUACCUGCGCGCGGUCCCCACCCGCCCCCGGGAGCGCGAUGGGGGCGGCGGCCUGAGGGGGCGCUGCGAGAGCCGAGAGUCCAGGAAGCGGCGUCCGCAGGAGCGAGUGAGGCCUGCGGAGACACUUGGUAGAGCGAGAGUUAAGUGUUGUUACCCCUAGGUCCGAGAGAGACAUGUUGGAUCAGCGUGGAAACAGUCCCGGGGCAGCUGUCCACCAGCCCGUGCUCCGGCCGCCGCCGCCCGACCUUGCUCCGCCCGCACCAGGCACCACGCUCCCUCCCCGGGGCACAAACCCGAGGCAGCUGGGAGGAUUGCUGACCCAGAAACUCAAAAUGGGAGGGGAGAGAGACGAGGAAAACAGUUGUGGGGAUUUACUGUUAUACCUGCCCUAAAUGGGGAAAACUCAAAGUCUGACCCCAGGUGAGCUGGCACCGUGGAGCUAGCUGAGAGGCGCCUUUUAUCUGAGCCUGGGAGGCAGCCAUAACCAUCACUGUAAUCUUUGUUUCGGUUGCCGCAGGCGCACACCUGUAAACUCUGAAAUGUAGAUUUGAAAAACAUGUCCACGGGUUUUGAGGUUUGUAUUCCAGACUCGAUUCAGAGGGGAAAACAAAUUAAAAUUUUAUCAUUA
Molecule: long non-coding RNA, 1516 nt
Filed under: Ursus americanus (American black bear)
Lineage: Eukaryota; Metazoa; Chordata; Mammalia; Carnivora; Ursidae
Description: lncRNA (ENSUAMG00000022989.1)
Source: RNAcentral